This 774-nucleotide ribosomal RNA is filed under the name uncultured Neocallimastigales. RNAcentral's name for it is "partial large subunit ribosomal RNA". It matches the Rfam family "Eukaryotic large subunit ribosomal RNA", at positions 16 to 644 of the family's 3401-position model. Lineage: Eukaryota; Fungi; Neocallimastigomycota; Neocallimastigomycetes; Neocallimastigales. The record is from RNAcentral.
CACGCACACACGCGCGGCAUAUCAAUAAGCGGAGGAAAAGAAACUAACAAGGAUUCCCCUAGUAACGGCGAGUGAAGCGGGAAGAGCUCAAAUUUGAAAUCUUCAAGGUUCUACCUUGACGAAUUGUAGUUUAUAGAAGUGUUUUCUGUUAGUGGAGUGGCAAAAGUUCUUUGGAAUAGGACAUCAUAGAGGGUGAGAAUCCCGUAUUUGGUCAUUCCUCCUAGCGUUGUGAUACACUUUCAACGAGUCGGAUUGUUUGGGAAUGCAGUCCAAAAUGGGUGGUAAAUUUCAUCUAAAGCUAAAUAUUGGCGAGAGACCGAUAGCGAACAAGUACCGUGAGGGAAAGAUGAAAAGAACUUUGAAAAGAGAGUUAAACAGUACGUGAAAUUGUCAAAAGGGAAGCGUUUGACACCAGUGUUGUUUUUCCGGAAAUCAAUUACGAAUGUUUUAUUUUUGAGGAGUUAUGACUUCAUCGGCUUGCUCCUUUCUUUAUGAAACUUUCUUAAUGCACUUUUCGGUUAACAAGUCAACAUCAAUUUCUUUUGUUGUAAAAGGGUAUGAGGAAGGUGGCUUUCUUUUCGGAGAAAGUGUUUAUAGCCUUGUGCCUCUACAAUCGGAGAGAUUGAGGUCUGCAGCGUAGAUCCUUCGGGGUUAGAUACGUUUGUGCUAAGUUAUAGCUUUUCAUAGACAACUUGUUGACUAUGUUUAGUCUUGUAGCUUACUCGCUGAUGCUAUUUUACCUACGCUUAGGAUGUUGAAGAUAUGCGCGACACG